Molecule: ribosomal RNA, 433 nt
Filed under: uncultured bacterium
Lineage: Bacteria
Description: partial 16S ribosomal RNA
Rfam family: Bacterial small subunit ribosomal RNA
Source: RNAcentral
AGCGAACGCUGGCGGCAUGCCUAACACAUGCAAGUCGAACGAGACCUUCGGGUCUAGUGGCGCCCGGGUGCGUAACGCGUGGGAACCUGCCCUUAGGUUCGGAAUAACUCCCCGAAAGGGGUGCUAAUACCGGAUAAUGUCUUCGGCCCAAUGAUUUAUCGCCUUUGGAUGGGCCCGCGUUGGAUUAGCUAGUUGGUAGGGUAAAAGCCUACCAAGGCGACGAUCCAUAGCUGGUCUGAGAGGAUGGUCAGCCACACUGGGACUGAGACACGGCCCAGACUCCUACGGGAGGGAGCAGUGGGGAAUAGUGGACAAUGGGCGAAAGCAUGAUCCAGCAAUGACGGGUGAGUGAUGAAGGCAGUAGGGUUGUAAAGCUCUUUUAACCGGGAUGAUAAUGACAGUACCGGGAGAAUAAGCUCCGGCUAACUACGUG